GCUGGUGAUUUCCUCUUCUCGAUUGCUGUUUCUCUAAGGCGUUUAAUUAUUAAAUUUCGAUAUUAAUUUAAGGGUGGUAUUGCUUUGAUUUUAAGAUUCCCAAUCUCAAGACACAAGAGAGCACAAAUAUGCUAGAGUUUUGUCGGCAACCGAUGAGCAUGAUCAGUCUCAACCGGAUGCUGUCAUCAAAAGGGUCACUGAUACUACCAAUGCUAAGCAUGAAUCGAGAAAUGAUGGCACGGAUACCAAGCCCAAGGAUCCGAAGUCC
Molecule: long non-coding RNA, 268 nt
Filed under: Linum usitatissimum (flax)
Lineage: Eukaryota; Viridiplantae; Streptophyta; Magnoliopsida; Malpighiales; Linaceae
Description: long non-coding RNA (LUSI_LNC000707)
Source: RNAcentral